AUUGAACGCUGGCGGCAGGCCUAACACAUGCAAGUCGAACGGCAGCACAGAAGAGCUUGCUCUUUGGGUGGCGAGUGGCGGACGGGUGAGUAAUGUCUGGGAAACUGCCCGAUGGAGGGGGAUAACUACUGGAAACGGUAGCUAAUACCGCAUAACGUCGCAAGACCAAAGUGGGGGACCUUCGGGCCUCACACCCUCGGAUGUGCCCGGAUGGGAUUAGCUAGUAGGUGGGGUAAUGGCUCACCUAGGCGACGAUCCGUAGCUGGGAUGAGGGGAGGACCAGCCACACUGGAACUGAGACAAGGUCCAGACUCCUACGGGAGGCAGCAGUGGGGAAUAUUGCACAAUGGGCUCAAGCCUGAUGCAGCCAUGCCGCGUGUAUGAAGAAGGCCUUCGGGUUGUAAAGUACUUUCAGCGGGGAGGAAGGCGGUGAGGUUAAUAACCUCGCCGAUUGACGUUACCCGCAGAAGAAGCACCGGCUAACUCCGUGCCAGCAGCCGCCGUAA
Molecule: ribosomal RNA, 506 nt
Filed under: uncultured bacterium
Lineage: Bacteria
Description: partial 16S ribosomal RNA
Rfam family: Bacterial small subunit ribosomal RNA
Source: RNAcentral